GCUCAUGAUGGAUAGCUCACUCAGUAGAGCACGAGACUCUUAAUCUCAGGGCUGUUGGUUCGAGCCCCAUGUUGGGUA
This is a non-coding RNA of Podarcis lilfordi (Lilford's wall lizard), 78 nucleotides long. NCBI's taxonomy places the organism in Eukaryota, Metazoa, Chordata, Lepidosauria, Squamata, Lacertidae. The record is from the annotation of a GenBank genome assembly.